Molecule: ribosomal RNA, 200 nt
Filed under: uncultured bacterium
Lineage: Bacteria
Description: partial 16S ribosomal RNA
Rfam family: Bacterial small subunit ribosomal RNA
Source: RNAcentral
AAUGAACGCUGGCGGCAUGCCUAACACAUGCAAGUCGAACGAAGGCUUCGGCCUUAGUGGCGCACGGGUGCGUAACGCGUGGGAAUCUGCCCUUGGGUUCGGAAUAACAGUGAGAAAUUACUGCUAAUACCGGAUGAUGUCGAAAGACUAAAGAUAUAUCGCCCGAGGAUGAGCCCGCGUAGGAUUAGCUAGUUGGUGAG